Molecule: ribosomal RNA, 577 nt
Filed under: uncultured bacterium
Lineage: Bacteria
Description: bacterial SSU rRNA
Rfam family: Bacterial small subunit ribosomal RNA
Source: RNAcentral
AACCGGAUUAGAUACCCUGGUAGUCCCACGCCCUAAACCGAUGUCUACUAGUUGUCGGGUUUUAAUUAACCUUGGUAACGCAGCUAACGCGUGAAGUAGACCGCCUGGGGAGUACGGUCGCAAGAUUAAAACUCAAAGGAAUUGACGGGGACCCGCACAAGCGGUGGAUGAUGUGGAUUAAUUCGAUGCAACGCGAAAAACCUUACCUACCCUUGACAUGUACGGAAGGCCGAAGAGAUUUGGCUGUGCUCGAAAGAGAACCGUAACACAGGUGCUGCAUGGCUGUCGUCAGCUCGUGUCGUGAGAUGUUGGGUUAAGUCCCGCAACGAGCGCAACCCUUGUCAUUAGUUGCUACAUUUAGUUGAGCACUCUAAUGAGACUGCCGGUGACAAACCGGAGGAAGGUGGGGAUGACGUCAAGUCCUCAUGGCCCUUAUGGGUAGGGCUUCACACGUUAUACAAUGGUACAUACAGAGGGCCGCCAACCCGCGAGGGGGAGCUAAUCCCAGAAAGUGUAUCGUAGUCCGGAUUGUAGUCUGCAACUCGACUACAUGAAGUUGGAAUCGCUGGUAAUCGCG